Molecule: long non-coding RNA, 1056 nt
Filed under: Cyanistes caeruleus (blue tit)
Lineage: Eukaryota; Metazoa; Chordata; Aves; Passeriformes; Paridae
Description: lncRNA (ENSCCEG00000019672.1)
Source: RNAcentral
UUAUCCCCACAGACAUUACCAGCUACUGGGAUAACAGCACAUGAGAACAGAAUUUCCUUUAAGAUCCUCAGUUACACAGGAAUUCCAAGGUUAAGGCAGAAUACAACAGGAUUUUGUAAGGAGAUUGUUAUUUGGAGGUUUUAGUACUCUAUCUCAUACCAUACUAUGGUAGAUCAAGAGUUUGGUUCUUUCUGGUCCUCCUCAUAACCCAACAGUUCAGGAAAAAAAAAUUACUGGAAAUUACAGAUGUCAGGUCAGGAGUGGAAAGUUAUUCUGACUAGGCCAGAAUGUCAGAUCAGAAAUAAUAUGCUAGAGUUUAUCAGCUGAAAUACGUGAGGCAAGAAAAAACUCCAACCAACAGCCCAGCUUAUCUCACACUUUAUUUUAAAUACACUGUAUUGACCAAAUUCCUUCCUGAACCAUACCAAGGGCAGAAACUAUUGUAUAAAUUCCUGCAGCACUGAAGAAGUCAGUUCAUAUUGACUGGACAUAUCGUUUUUGCAUGCACAUGAGCCCACUGGCCCACUAAGUUUGUAUCCUGUACGUUUCAAAAGCAUGCGGCUGCUGGGGGGCCGCUUUGGGUUUUGUUUGCUCCUACAGUCCCACGCAAGAGGGUCUAUCUGAAUGCAGGUGCUGGAAUGAGAACUCUGCUCCCCCAUUCCUGUUGGUGACACUCGGGCCUCUCUGAGACAAAGCUCCUUCUCAUCAGCAACAGAGAUUUUUUUAAAAAGGUGUGGACAGGGACAAAAACCAGGCCCUUAGGUGGCAGUAAGAUCUGAAACAUUAACUGUACUUAGUGGUUCACCAGCAAUCUUGACUGCAAAAAUCACUGGUAGAGUGGAGGAGAGUCUAGCACAGUUUGCUCCAAAGAGAACUUCAGGAGAGACUUUGUGGAAGGUGUUUUAGUGCCUCUAAAAACACUGCUGCAAGUGCAGCCCUUGCCCACAAUGGCACGAGAGAAGCAAAGACUCCUUUUUCAAGGCUCACUCACUCAAGACACAAAUGUGGCAGGUUGGUAGCUCUGAGUGCAGAGCUGACCAGAGGUGCAUGAGCAGU